AGGCGCCCCCCCGGCUGUGACAUCUCUUAACCCACUGAUCACCAGGCUUGAUUCUUGGCUGAUCUGGAUGCCAGGCCUGUGCCCCUUCCUCCCUUAAACACUCAUCUGCCUCCCUCCCUAAGCUGCGUAUUCCUUUGGAGAGGUCAGCCUUCCCCAAUGGAGGAGGACCCUUCUUCGGUGAAGGCUGUACACAGUAGGUGGGCUCCCCUGCUAGAAGCUCCGAACAAGCCCUCAAACUGGAGAUCCUUGACUCGUCUCAAGGGCAGUGGGGUAGGAAAGUGAUGGGUGUUUUUAAAAAGAGUGCUUCCUUU
Molecule: small nuclear RNA, 311 nt
Filed under: Neogale vison (American mink)
Lineage: Eukaryota; Metazoa; Chordata; Mammalia; Carnivora; Mustelidae
Description: Neovison vison (American mink) 7SK RNA (ENSNVIG00000003100.1)
Rfam family: 7SK RNA
About the family: 7SK was discovered as an abundant small nuclear RNA in the mid-70s but a possible function has only recently been suggested. Two independent studies have found that 7SK RNA binds the CDK9/cyclin T complex (known as elongation factor P-TEFb).
Source: Rfam by way of RNAcentral